GUUCCCUAUUUUGUGAUUCAAUUCUAAAAGGCACUCUGCCCAGCUCCCCUUCCUUCUCUGGCAGAGAUGGGGACGUUCCUGGAACUGAGCCCCUGGGAAGCAGGUACUGGUGCUGGGUCACAGGGCCAGUGGGAAAGAGGGUACAGCGGCAGGGCGGGCCAUCCUGGGGACCUGGGAGGGACCAGAGGCAGGGUGGGGAGGGGCUCUUGUCUUGAACCCAGGAGUGUCUGUGUGAUGAGGAAGGGGGGAUGAGGUUAGAAAGGAGGUGACAGAUAAUCCUUCCACUUUCACUUCCCCAGAGCAAUGCAGUGUCCUGGGGCUGCCUAGCAAAUCUGAGGAGGAAGCUUAGAAGUAAAGGGGGGAGGAUGGCCCACAGGCAGAGACUAGGCAGCCGCCUACCCCUUUCUUCUUCCCCUUAGACUUAGUGAUUUCUGAAAUUUCACCUAGACAGUUGUAUUCCACUGGAUUUAAACAAGACAGAUCAAACUAUUGAAUUUAGAUUCACGGGGUAAAUAUGACAGUGGACAAAUUCCUAAUCUAAGUCUCAGUUUAUCCAUCUGUAGAAUGGAACAAUAAUGUCUGUUUUUGUAAGGUUCUUAUGAGGACUAAGCGAGAGCACACAUGAAAGCUUCUAGGGCACUUCUUCAUAAAAUUAGCUUAAUUAAUUAAAUGCAUGAAUAAUUAGAAUUAUUACAUUAUGUAUUAUAAUUAAUCAAUUCAGAUUUGUACCCAUUGGGAUGGCAAUGCCUCUAUUAAUAGUGACUGGUCCAAAGUGAGGAGCAAUUCUGAGUGAUUGACUGGCUGGCCAAGGGCGGGAAGAGCAGGGGCACUAGUUCCUUGAAGGAGUGGGAACAUCCCGGGAGGCAUGGUGCUGAUGGGGGAGCCUGGUGGAGAAUGGUCUUCAAGGGCCUCCCACCCACUGUCUGCUGUCUUCCUCCUUCCCUCGUUUCCUUGGGGUCUAGGCUCUUUUGUGUCCUCCUGGGAUCAAAGGGUGGUGAUCAGGACUGAGAAGUCAGAGGUAGGUGCCACUCAGGAUUGGGUCUUUGGAGUUCCAGGAAGGUUUUCUACUCUGGACUUCUCAUAUGUGAUCCGAGUUGGAGAGGGACAAAGCCUGACUGAAACAAGCUGAAGACAACCGGGAUGCUGUUUCUCUCCUGUGGGUCUUGAGGUCUCUAGAGCCUGCAGUGGCCACUUCUUGUUGGAAGGAAGAGCUCUGAAUGAUUUUGAGGCAGGAGGUGUGCAGUUGAGUGUCUUCAUAUGAGUAAUAUGAAAGCAGUGGGAGUGCUAAGAAGCACACGAGGAUGGGGGGAAGGAAGGCCCAGGACACUCCAACAUUUAGAGGACAGGGAGAAAAGGAGGACUCAUCUGAGGAGGCUGAGGAAGUGUGGCCUAUGAAAUAAAUCGAGAACCAAGUGGGAGUGCCAAAAGCCAUGUGAAAAGUGUCUCAAGAAGGAAUGAUUUGCUCUGUCACAUGAUGCUGAUAGAGCAGUGAAGAGGAAGACUGAGAAUUUGACUACUCGGUUUUAAAAAUGUAAAGGCCAUUGAUCUCCUUGACAAGAGCAAGUUUGGAGAGGUGCUGAUCAGAGUACUUUCAGGAGAGAAGGGGCGGAGGACGAGAGGAAUAGGAGACCACUGGGGACAGCUUUUCGAGGACUGGCCCAUCAUGUGCCAGGCUUUGUGCCAGGAAAUAAAAAUAGAUGGUGAACCAGAAGGGCUGUCUGCCUUUGAGGAGCCCGCAGUCCAGUAGAAGAGAGACAUGUUUAGAACUAAGCUGCAUGAGAAGUGGUAGGAUAAAGAUACCUACAGGGAGUUCUGUGAGGACAGAGGGAGGGGCCAGCUCCCUCUGAGAAGACAGUUGGAACUUCUGCUGCUGGAAAAUCAGGUUCCCAGGUGGGGAGAGGGAGGAAGGGUAUUAGCUCCAGAGUUUUCAAAAGCAAAGAACUUUUUUCAUUCUUUUUAUCAUCAUCUCUAGCUACCAAAGAGGCUGGCCCACAGCAGUUGCUCAGUUUGCAUUUGCUGAAUGAUUUUGUGAAUUCCAGUGGAAGGCGUUAACAAAAAACAGAGCUGCAAAAGAAACCAUCGCAACAAUUUUGACAGUAGCAGCAAGGAUGGAGAAGAGAGAUGGUUUCGUUUAGAAAGCGUUGAUUGGUUUGGAAGGAAAGAGGGUGUUGCAGACAAUCCCAACACUCACACUUUAGCCGAUGAGGUUUGUUGAGCGCAGGCACCUUGUGUUGAUGGCUUUGUAUUCUCCAUGCCUAGGAAAGUGCCUGACGCUUGACUGCUUGAGUGACGGAAUGUUAUUGCCUGGGAGGAAGGCUACAGGAUAAGCAGUGAUUUGGGAGUGUUGGGGGUGGGAUGAGAGUGAGAUUGGAGAAGACACUGGGAGAGCUGCCAUUAGACAUUGGAGGGGAAAGGAUGGGUAGGUAGAUAGAUCGAUUGAUCUGGACCAGACAUGUGGAUUUACAAGUUACCAGUUUGUGGGCGAUAGCCAAAUGUAUGGAUUCAUAGGAACUUUGCCAAAGAGAAUGUCUAGAGGGAGGAGACAACUGAGCUGGAAUGCCGGGAAGUGACACACUAAAGGAGCAGGUGGAGGAGGAAGCACAGUAACGGAGACUGCAGAGGAGCCGGCAGGGGGAUGGGAAUGGAAUGAGAGUCGAUGGUUUUGUCAUCAUGUAGGGCGAAAGUCUUGACGAGGAAGGAGAAUCAAUAGCAUCAAGAGUCUUCGGGGAAGCCCAGCAGGGUAUGGAAUGAACACAGGCUAUGUCUGGCCAUUAGGAGGGCACCGGAAAUUUUACUGAGUGGAUUGGAUGGAAAGAGGCCGGCUGAUGAAACCAGACUGGGAUGGGCUGAGAGGCUGAGAGGUUGAUAAGUGAAGAAGUAGAGGCUGUGAGGAUGGAAACAGACAUGUUCUUUCAUGAAUAUACUGAUGAAGAGAAGGAAGGCGAGCAGUGGUCAUUUGAAGCUGGGGCAGGAAGUUAUUGUCUAAUAAAUUGGCAGACUUAGACUCACUUGGGCUGUUUUGAUUGAAAACAGAAAAAUUUAAGAUAUAAAAGCGAUGGAGUGAAGUCCUGGAAGAGGUGCGAAAGGAUGGAACCCACAGGCUGAAAAGGCAACAUCUUAGAGGAAAGCACAGUGUCCUUUUCUUCCUCUGAGAGAAAACAGACAGACAGAGGAGGAAGGACCAGAAAGGUGGGGACUGGGGAUGAGAGAGUCAUCAUGAUGUCCUCCACUUAGGGAGAGAAGGGAAAGAGGAGCAAGGUCAUCUGCUGAGACAGAGAAGGGAAGGAAGUGGUGGUGAGUGCCAGGAGAAUGGGGAAGAUUUGGAACCAAGGUUUUACAGAGAGUGGGAACAUAACCUUCUAUGAUAUGGAAUGUUGUGUUCCUGGGAGCUCUGGUGACCAGAUGAAGGUGUGGAGAGGGUACUGGGAGUCAACCGAGCCAAGAUGGAGGAGAGAGGAGGGUUGGGAAGUGGGUUUACUGGUGAGAGUGGCAUCACAAUGACUGACUGUGGAGCCUGGGAGGGAUAGAGCAUGAGCGCAGGAUGAGGCUGAGAGGCUGUGAUGGUGAGAAAAAUUAUAGGACUUGCUACCCAAAGGGUUGUAAGAAGGAGCUAGAUUCCAGGUCACCUGCAAACAGAGCAUCUGCCUCUGGACCUCAGGAAUGGAGUUCCCAUUUGACAGCUCUGGAAUUUCCACAUACAUCCCCACAUUGUGCUUGGGAUAUGGUUCCCUAUCGGGGUCCAGGAGGCCCCUUGAGCCUGAAUUUCAGCUGCUCUGAAACACAUCUGCCUCCCCCUUUGAGGUGCCCCUCAAGGGAUUUUUACAAAUGCCAUGUGGUCUAUGUUUUAAGCAAGAUUAUUUCAAUCAUUUCCUUCCAUAUCUAUUCAGCUCCUUUCACAGACCUAUAGGAACCAAAUUCUAUGCUGCUGCUGACAUUCUCUAAUUGUUUCUCAUUAUAUUGCAUGUUGUCAUUUCAUUUUCAUAACUCGAGUGUAAGUUUAUUGAAAGCAAGAACCAUAUCCUAUGUUUUCUUGUCCAUAUUACCCAUUCCACAUGGCCUGUUGCUGGCACGCAAUGAAUGUUAGUGUGAGGCUGAAUUCUUCAUGGAGGAGAUCUCUACUAGUAUUUAAACUAAAGAAAUGCCACAGUUAUCAUUAAUCAUGGAAAGCACUUGCUUAAAGAUGAAAUAAUUCUUUAAGUAAUUCAGCAAAACACACUAUCUACCUACCUUGUGCCAGGCCUCAUGCUGACUACUGGGAAUGAAAAGAGAGCAUCCACAUACUCCCAGCAUUGGGGAACCUAGUCACACAGAGGGUAUGGGUACAUACAAAUAAUUACCAUACAGUGUCAAAAGGGAUUGGGAUAUUUGAGAAGGAAUACAGGUACACAAAGUAGGGACAGAAUGUCUCAGGCUGGGGUCAAGGAAAGCUUGGCAGACGUGAUAUUUGAGUCAGGCCGAGGAAGACAAAUAGAAUUCCAGCAGACAAAGAAGAAGA
Molecule: long non-coding RNA, 4495 nt
Organism: Ailuropoda melanoleuca (giant panda)
Lineage: Eukaryota; Metazoa; Chordata; Mammalia; Carnivora; Ursidae
Exons: 2
Source: RefSeq, a predicted model, not a curated record